This 315-nucleotide long non-coding RNA is filed under the name Lathyrus oleraceus (garden pea). RNAcentral's name for it is "Pisum sativum (pea) long non-coding RNA (PSAT_LNC032185)". The record is from RNAcentral. Lineage: Eukaryota; Viridiplantae; Streptophyta; Magnoliopsida; Fabales; Fabaceae.
UCAAAGUAAAAGAAGAGAAUAGAUGAAGAUAGAAAGAAUGAAGAGGGGAGCUAAGGAAAUCACAUAGGGAUCAAUCUAUCAACAAAUCAAAGGACUCAAAAUAUGGCGCAUCAAGGGGUAAUCUAUCAUUGAUGCAAAAUGUUGAAGAUGAUUCAUGAUCAUCUACCAACAUGUUUGAAUUAAAGAAGGUUGAAUCAACCUCAAGUCCAUAUAUCAAUGAUUUGAAAUAUGGAAGAUCUCAUCAACCAAGCAAUCAAUUUAAAUUAAAACAUCAAGUCAAUAACAAAAAGAAAUAAAAAAUGAUUUAUAAUUGAU